Molecule: non-coding RNA, 1381 nt
Organism: Nicotiana tabacum (common tobacco)
Lineage: Eukaryota; Viridiplantae; Streptophyta; Magnoliopsida; Solanales; Solanaceae
Source: RefSeq, a predicted model, not a curated record
AACUCCCAACCAAUGUGGGACUUUGGCAUUUUGCCAAACUUCAACAUAUCUGAUCUCAACUUAACGAUCGUUUUUCUUUCUUUGUCAGGAUUUUGGGGACAAUUAGCUAUUCUAGCUGAUUUCCAGUUGGUGACAAGAAAGAUGUGUCGAAAUUCCUUAUUGAAUUUGGCAAAACUCCUUCUCUUUCAUCCGCCAGAACCUAUGCAACAACUCCAUCAAUCUCUUGAAAAUUCUAUGUUGGUUGUUCACUGCUCAAACCACACUUCAAAAUUAUGAAACUGGAAGAGUGGCCAAUAAUUGCUCAAAUUCCCAUUGUAUGGGUUGAUAAUGCACUUCAAUAUAUGUAGCAUGCAAGAUCAUUGGUGGUAUUAUCAAGUCAAAGCACACUUGGUGAAUUGGCCAAAUCUGGUGCAUAUCCUCACCCAUGCCCAGGUAUGUUGGAUCGCUGUAAAGUGGUGGCCAUCUCUGUACCAUCAUCUGCCUUAGGACACAAGGAGAGUUGCCCUUCUCCAUCACUUCAGUAUGCAUCUAUAUGUCUGCGCAAAGGCAAGAAUGGCUCAGCAUUUGGAUUGAUGGUCAGCUCAUCUGUCACAUAAUGUUUAUUAGUUUCCCCAGUCGCUGGAUAUACAUCAAUAAUGAGGAUUCUUCGAUUCCAGUCCUUUGAAGAAGCAAAAGGUCAAGUACUGUUGGAAAGGCAAGGAAACAUAUGCUACUACUCAUUUCAAGUCAAUUCAUGGGAUCACAAAGGAAGAGCAUGAAUGGUCAGAAACAUGCCAUCUCUAUUUCACAGUUUUCUGUGUAGUAUGUAGCUGGAUAUUCAAGUCUUGCUUCAACUCAUGCUAACUCGUUGAUGUGACGGUGCCAAUUCCCCUUUCACUGCUUUGUUUUGUUUCUAGGUUUUCGUCCAAAUAUCAAAAGAAACCAGAAAGCAAUGUUUGACAGAAUGGAAACAUUUUGCCCGAAAUCAGAAAUUAGUAUGUAUUUGUGCUCUCUUCAAAGGGUAUGAAUUAGGUUUUUCUCAUCGUCAAACGAAUAUCUUUAUGUUAAAGCUGUAUAUAGAAGUUAAAUUCCAAAAAAGAAAAAAGAAAAAAGAGAGGAGAUAUCCAUCCAAUUCUUCUGUUGUUUUGCAUUUCUGUCUUUACUGUUAGCGUAAGCGUAGGAUGAAUAUUAACCUUGUACAUCUGGAGCUUGAUAAUCAUGGAAAGAUAUGUUGUACUCCUAGUGAUAUGUAAAAAUGCAGUAGUACAAUGCAAAGGUACAUCACCUAGAGCUUAGAAUUGUUUAGUUUUUUAUAUUCAUGUUACUAGACCAUCUUGUAAAAGUCGACAGAAAUCUUUAAUUUUUUUUUUUUUGUUAUGAGAAUUAUUGUCUCUGGAAUGGA